CUGAUGCAGCAUGCCGCGUGUAUGAAGAAGGCCUUCGGGUUGUAAAGUACUUUCAGCGGGGAGGAAGGCGGUGAGGUUAAUAACCUCGCCGAUUGACGUUACCCGCAGAAGAAGCACCGGCUAACUCCGUGCCAGCAGCCGCGGUAAUACGGAGGGUGCAAGCGUUAAUCGGAAUUACUGGGCGUAAAGCGCACGCAGGCGGUCUGUUAAGUCAGAUGUGAAAUCCCCGGGCUUAACCUGGGAACUGCAUUUGAAACUGGCAGGCUUGAGUCUCGUAGAGGGGGGUAGAAUUCCAGGUGUAGCGGUGAAAUGCGUAGAGAUCUGGAGGAAUACCGGUGGCGAAGGCGGCCCCCUGGACGAAGACUGACGCUCAGGUGCGAAAGCGUGGGGAGCAAACA
This 398-nucleotide ribosomal RNA is filed under the name Enterobacter hormaechei. RNAcentral describes it as "bacterial SSU rRNA". It matches the Rfam family "Bacterial small subunit ribosomal RNA", at positions 383 to 774 of the family's 1533-position model. Lineage: Bacteria; Pseudomonadati; Pseudomonadota; Gammaproteobacteria; Enterobacterales; Enterobacteriaceae. The record is from RNAcentral.